UGAGUAACCUGCCCUUAACUCUGGGAUAAGCCUGGGAAACUGGGUCUAAUACCGGAUAUGACUCCUCAUCGCAUGGUGGGGGGUGGAAAGCUUUAUUGUGGUUUUGGAUGGACUCGCGGCCUAUCAGCUUGUUGGUGAGGUAUGGCUCACCAAGGCGACGACGGGUAGCCGGCCUGAGAGGGUGACCGGCCACACUGGGACUGAGACACGGCCCAGACUCCUACGGGAGCAG
RNAcentral lists this ribosomal RNA (232 nucleotides) under uncultured bacterium. RNAcentral describes it as "partial 16S ribosomal RNA". It matches the Rfam family "Bacterial small subunit ribosomal RNA", at positions 118 to 347 of the family's 1533-position model. The record is from RNAcentral.